RNAcentral lists this ribosomal RNA (274 nucleotides) under uncultured bacterium. RNAcentral describes it as "partial 16S ribosomal RNA". It matches the Rfam family "Bacterial small subunit ribosomal RNA", at positions 523 to 796 of the family's 1533-position model. The record is from RNAcentral.
AUACGGAGGGUGCAAGCGUUACUCGGAAUCACUGGGCGUAAAACGCGCGCAGGCGGCCCGAUAAGUUGGAUGUGAAAGCCUACGGCUCAACCGUAGAACUGCAUCCAAAACUAUUAGACUAGAGUGUGGGAGAGGAAGAUGGAAUUAGUUGUGUAGGGGUAAAAUCCGUAGAGAUAACUAGGAAUACCAAAAGCGAAGGCAAUCUUCUGGAACACUACUGACGCUGAGGCGCGAAAGCGUGGGGAGCAAACAGGAUUAGAAACCCUAGUAGUCC